Molecule: ribosomal RNA, 497 nt
Filed under: uncultured bacterium
Lineage: Bacteria
Description: partial 16S ribosomal RNA
Rfam family: Bacterial small subunit ribosomal RNA
Source: RNAcentral
GAUGAACGCUGGCGGCGUGCCUAAUACAUGCAAGUCGAGCGAACGGACGAGAAGCUUGCUUCUCUGAUGUUAGCGGCGGACGGGUGAGUAACACGUGGAUAACCUACCUAUAAGACUGGGAUAACUUCGGGAAACCGGAGCUAAUACCGGAUAAUAUUUUGAACCGCAUGGUUCAAAAGUGAAAGACGGUCUUGCUGUCACUUAUAGAUGGAUCCGCGCUGCAUUAGCUAGUUGGUAAGGUAACGGCUUACCAGGGCAACGAUGCAUAGCCGACCUGAGAGGGUGAUCGGCCACACUGGAACUGAGACACGGUCCAGACUCCUACGAGAGGCAGCAGUAGGGAAUCUUCCGCAAUGGGCGAAAGCCUGACGGAGCAACGCCGCGUGAGUGAUGAAGGUCUUCGGAUCGUAAAACUCUGUUAUUAGGGAAGAACAUAUGUGUAAGUAACUGUGCACAUCUUGACGGUACCUAAUCAGAAAGCCACGGCUAACUACGUG